GGGGACUCCGAGUGUGAAGGCUAGAGCCUUCACUUUUGUACACCGUAAGGUGGUGUACGAAUAAGGGCUGGGCAAGACCGGUGCCAGCCGCCGCGGUAAUACCGGCAGCCCGAGUGAUGGCCGAUAUUAUUGGGCCUAAAGCGUCCGUAGCUGGCCGGACAAGUCCGUUGGGAAAUCUGUUCGCUUAACGAGCAGGCGUCCAGCGGAAACUGUUCGGCUUGGGACCGGAAGACCUGAGGGGUACGUCCGGGGUAGGAGUGAAAUCCUGUAAUCCUGGACGGACCACCGGUGGCGAAAGCGCCUCAGGAGGACGGAUCCGACAGUGAGGGACGAAAGCUAGGGUCUCGAACCGGAUUAGAUACCCGGGUAGUCCUAGCUGUAAACGAUGCCCGCUAGGUGUGGCGCAGGCUACGAGCCUGCGCUGUGCCGUAGGGAAGCCGAGAAGCGGGCCGCCUGGGAAGUACGUCUGCAAGGAUGAAACUUAAAGGAAUUGGCGGGGGAGCACUACAACCGGAGGAGCCUGCGGUUUAAUUGGACUCAACGCCGGACAUCUCACCAGCUCCGACAGUAGUAAUGACGGUCAGGUUGAUGACCUUACCCGAUGCUACUGAGA
This 613-nucleotide ribosomal RNA is filed under the name Halobacterium sp. PeH1. RNAcentral's name for it is "bacterial SSU rRNA". It matches the Rfam family "Archaeal small subunit ribosomal RNA", at positions 374 to 985 of the family's 1478-position model. Lineage: Archaea; Methanobacteriati; Methanobacteriota; Halobacteria; Halobacteriales; Halobacteriaceae. The record is from RNAcentral.